AGUGAACGCUGGCGGUAGGCCUAACACAUGCAAGUCGAACGGCAGCACAGUAAGAGCUUGCUCUUACGGGUGGCGAGUGGCGGACGGGUGAGGAAUACAUCGGAAUCUACUUUUUCGUGGGGGAUAACGUAGGGAAACUUACGCUAAUACCGCAUACGACCUACGGGUGAAAGCAGGGGAUCUUCGGACCUUGCGCGAUUGAAUGAGCCGAUGUCGGAUUAGCUAGUUGGCGGGGUAAAGGCCCACCAAGGCGACGAUCCGUAGCUGGUCUGAGAGGAUGAUCGGCCACACUGGAACUGAGACACGGUCCAGACUCCACGGGAGGCAGCAGUGGGGAAUAUUGGACAAUGGGCGCAAGCCUGAUCCAGCCAUACCGCGUGGGUGAAGAAGGCCUUCGGGUUGUAAAGCCCUUUUGUUGGGAAAGAAAAGCAGCAGGUUAAUACCCCGCUGUUCUGACGGUACCCAAAGAAUAAGCACCGGCUAACUUCGUG
Molecule: ribosomal RNA, 491 nt
Filed under: uncultured bacterium
Lineage: Bacteria
Description: partial 16S ribosomal RNA
Rfam family: Bacterial small subunit ribosomal RNA
Source: RNAcentral